AACGAACGCUGGCGGCAUGCCUAACACAUGCAAGUCGAACGAGACCUUCGGGUCUAGUGGCGCACGGGUGCGUAACGCGUGGGAACCUGCCCUUAGGUUCGGAAUAACUCCCCGAAAGGGGUGCUAAUACCGGAUAAUGUCUUCGGACCAAAGAUUUAUCGCCUUUGGAUGGGCCCGCGUUGGAUUAGCUAGUUGGUAGGGUAAAAGCCUACCAAGGCGACGAUCCAUAGCUGGUCUGAGAGGAUGAUCAGCCACGCUGGGACUGAGACACGGCCCAGACUCCUACGGGAGGCAGCAGUGGGGAAUAUUGGACAAUGGGCGAAAGGCUGAUCCAGCAAUGCCGCGUGAGUGAUGAAGGCCUUAGGGUUGUAAAGCUCUUUUACCCGGGAUGAUAAUGACAGUACCGGGAGAAUAAGCUCCGGCUAACUCCGUG
Molecule: ribosomal RNA, 433 nt
Filed under: uncultured bacterium
Lineage: Bacteria
Description: partial 16S ribosomal RNA
Rfam family: Bacterial small subunit ribosomal RNA
Source: RNAcentral